Molecule: ribosomal RNA, 502 nt
Filed under: uncultured bacterium
Lineage: Bacteria
Description: partial 16S ribosomal RNA
Rfam family: Bacterial small subunit ribosomal RNA
Source: RNAcentral
AUUGAACGCUGGCGGAAUGCUUUACACAUGCAAGUCGAACGGCAGCACGGGUGCUUGCACCUGGUGGCGAGUGGCGAACGGGUGAGUAAUAUAUCGGAACGUACCCAGUAAUGGGGAAUAACUAACCGAAAGGUUAGCUAAUACCGCAUACGCCCUGAGGGGGAAAGCGGGGGAUCGAAAGACCUCGCGUUAUUGGAGCGGCCGAUAUCUGAUUAGCUAGUUGGUGGGGUAAAGGCCCACCAAGGCGACGAUCAGUAGCUGGUCUGAGAGGAAGAUCAGCCACACUGGAACUGAGACACGGUCCAGACUCCUACGGGAGGCAGCAGUGGGGAAUUUUGGACAAUGGGCGAAAGCCUGAUCCAGCCAUUCCGCGUGAGUGAAGAAGGCCUUCGGGUUGUAAAGCUCUUUCGGCAGGGAAGAAACGGUCUAGGUUAAUACCUUGGGCUAAUGACGGUACCUGAAGAAGAAGCACCGGCUAACUACGUGCCAGCCGCCGCGGUAA